This 492-nucleotide ribosomal RNA is filed under the name uncultured bacterium. Its description in RNAcentral is "partial 16S ribosomal RNA". It matches the Rfam family "Bacterial small subunit ribosomal RNA", at positions 29 to 507 of the family's 1533-position model. The record is from RNAcentral.
AGUGAACGCUGGCGGUAGGCCUAACACAUGCAAGUCGAACGGCAGCACAGUAAGAGCUUGCUCUUACGGGUGGCGAGUGGCGGACGGGUGAGGAAUACAUCGGAAUCUACUUUUUCGUGGGGGAUAACGUAGGGAAACUUACGCUAAUACCGCAUACGACCUACGGGUGAAAGCAGGGGAUCUUCGGACCUUGCGCGAUUGAAUGAGCCGAUGUCGGAUUAGCUAGUUUGCGGGGUAAAGGCCCACCAAGGCGAAGAUACGUAGCCGGUCUGAGAGGAUGAUUAGCCACAAUGGAACUGAGACACGGUCCCGACUCCUACGGGAGGCAGCAGUGGGGAAUUUUUGCCAAUGGGCGCAAGCCCGAUCCAGCCAUACCGCGUGGGUGAAGAAGGCCUUCCGGUUCUUAAGCCCUUGUGUUGGGAAAGAAAAGCAGCAGGUUAAUACCCCGCUGUUCUGGCGGUACCCAAAGAAUAAGCACCGGCUAACUUCCUG